UUGCGAACAAUAUUUAAAAUACUAAAAUACAUGAAAAGAGAGUCCACGAUUUCAGUGCACCUCACGACGUCACGCGUGCACCUGUACAGCGCGCGCACGCCGACACCGAACGAAUAUCGGGGCCCUUGUACACUUCUACGCUUGGAUGCCUGAGAAUCUCCAGGUUCAGACCCGUUCAGUUCACAGACACCGUUCAGCCGUUGCGGCGUUGCCGUUGCAGCAGCCAGCAGCGCUCGCCAGUGGACGACCAGCGCGCCGCGCGCAGGUCGCAGGUCAGUGCGACCCGUGGCCCGUGGGGUCGAUCGGCCCUUGUCUCUGUUUCAUCACUGCCGUAGUGCCGUGCUCGUGCUCGUGCUCGCGAGGUACCUCGCUCUCUCCUGACUUCCCGCGUCGGCGUCGCCGGCCUCCUCGUAUAAGAACCGACAUCCGACACGCCGCCUUCGCACUCGUCAACCUCUCCGCUUUGCCUCCCUCCCUCGCGUCCGCGUUCCCUCCCGCCUCCAGAUCUCGAUGCGGCAGCGGCUCCCCUGACAGCGGAGGCGACGCCGGCACCAUGUCCUCCUGCGACGACGACCACGCCUCGCUCCUCAGAUCCCACGCUGGGGCCUCGUCGCCGUCCUGCCCCUCGCCGCGCGGUUCGGCGGGACAUCAGCACCACGCCGACGUCGAGGCGGACGAGGCCACCGUCACCGCCUCCCCGAGGCUCGCCAGCGGCGGCGGGGGUGUGCGCGGUCUCCUGCGCAACCUCGAGCGCCGCAUGUCCGCACGCGGAUCUGGGCCUGGGCGUCGCCAGCACCAGCAUUAUCAGCAGCUCGAUCGCUCCGUGGCGAUCGAGUCGCCGCCGUCUCAGCGGCAGCGGGAGAGAGCGGCGGCGGGGGAUGACGACGAGCUCGGGGACGGGGCGCCGCCCGAGUGGGCGCUGCUGCUCAUCGGCUGCCUCCUCGGGCUCGCCACCGGCAUCUGCGUCGCCGCGUUUAACCGCGGGGUUCAUGUCAUCCAUGAAUGGGCAUGGGCAGGGACUCCCAACGAAGGUGCAGCAUGGCUCCGCCUGCAGAAGAUAGCUGAUACUUGGCACAGGAUACUGCUGAUCCCGGUGACUGGGGGUGUGGUUGUAGGAAUGAUGCAUGGGUUGCUCGAUAUAUUUGAGCAGCUAAAACUUGUGAAAUCAGGGCAGAGGCAAGGAAUCAACUUUGUUGGAGCCAUCUUCCCAACCAUAAAGGCUGUCCAAGCUGCUGUUACCCUAGGGACUGGCUGUUCCCUGGGACCUGAAGGUCCUAGUGUGGAUAUUGGCAAAUCGUGUGCAAAUGCAUGCUCAGAAAUGAUGGAGAGUAACCGGGAAAGGCGUAUUGCACUUGUUGCUGCUGGCGCUGCUGCUGGCAUUGCUUCAGGCUUCAAUGCAGCAGUUGCUGGGUGCUUCUUUGCCAUUGAAACUGUAUUAAGGCCUCUUAAAGCAGAAAAUUCACCUCCAUUUACGACUGCAAUGAUAAUAUUGGCAUCUGUUAUAUCAUCUACUGUUUCAAAUGUUUUACUUGGAGCCAGACCAGCUUUUAUAGUGCCAGCAUAUGAGCUCAAAUCUGCUGCCGAGCUACCAUUGUACCUUAUCUUAGGAAUGCUAUGUGGAGCGGUCAGUGUGGUAUUUGAUAGAUUGGUUGGAUGGUUUUCAAGAUUCUUUGGGCACAUAAAGGAAAAGUUUGAUUUUCCUAUAAUAGUGUACCCUGCUUUAGGUGGGCUGGGAGCUGGUAUCAUAGCUCUGAAAUAUCCAGGGAUCUUAUACUGGGGUUUCACAAAUGUUGAAGAAAUAUUGCAUACCGGUAAAAGUGCUUCUGCUCCUGGUAUCUGGUUGUUAACUCAACUGGCGGCUGCAAAGGUAGUUGCAACUGCUCUCUGCAAGGGCUCUGGGCUUGUGGGAGGACUAUAUGCUCCAAGCCUGAUGAUUGGGGCUGCUGUUGGAGCUGUUUUUGGGGGUUCAGCUGCUUAUUUAAUAAAUUCAGCUUUACCUGGUAAUGCUGCUGUUGCACAGCCACAAGCUUAUGCUCUGGUUGGAAUGGCUGCUACACUAGCUUCAGUCUGUUCAGUCCCAUUGACUUCAGUACUGCUUCUCUUUGAACUGACAAAGGAUUACAGGAUUUUGCUUCCGCUCAUGGGAGCAGUUGGGUUGGCAAUAUGGGUUCCUUCAGUAGUAAACCAGCCAAACGACAGUGAGCCUUCUGGGUUUAGAACAUCCAGACGAGGUUAUUCUUCAAUGUCACCAGAAGAAAGAAAUGGCAGCUUAAGGCAAGGUGAUGUUGUGGAUGAUCUUGAGCUCAGUAUUAUACAAACUGACAUGAGUAACUAUGGAACUUAUAAUGCAGAAAUGCUUCUGGAUGAUUUGAAGGUCUUCCAGGCCAUGUCAAAGAUAUAUCUCAAAGUGUUACCAUCUGCUACAGUAACAGAAGUUCUUAAUCUGUUGCAUGAUAGACAGCAAAAUUGUGCCCUGGUUGUGGACCCUGAAGAUUUUCUUGAAGGAAUAAUUACAUUAGGGGAUAUACGGCGCAUGGGAUAUGGGUUACAUGUGGAAAGUUUCAUCAAUGGAGAUCACCCCAAGGCUGACGUACGUUUAUAUGGAUAACUCUUCUUCCAUUUCAUUGUGUCUUACUCGAGGAUUCCAGUAUCGUGGGAGCGAACGUGGAUUGUUAACAUGCUUUCCAGAUACUGAUUUGACCACUGCAAAGAGUCUUAUGGAGGCCAGAGGGAUAAAGCAACUGCCUGUAGUUAAGCGUGGUGUUGCCCAUAGAACUGCAGGAAAGCGCAGGCCGAUUGCCCUUCUACAUUAUGAUUCUAUUGGUUGCUGCGUGCGGGAGGAAAUAGAGAACUGGAAGACCAUAUAUCAGAGACUGGCUUGUUAAUAAUAUGAAACUACUUGGACGAUAUGAUUAUUCGUUUGAUUGCCGAGGGAGAAUAUUGUGAACUGAAGGUCAUGUAUCAGCGAAAAGCAGGCUUUCCUCUUGUAGCAAUUGUGCACUGAAAAACUACAGUGCCCUUAUGACACCACAACAGUAAGCAAGACUACAGGACAUCUAUGCGAAAUGCAGCUAGCCAGCUACACUGAUGUAGAGAUCAUUCAGGCAGUUUAACCUCUAUACUGUAUCAUUUUGAUUUCACGGUGAUCUGCAGGGGCAAGCCUGAUAAAUUCUGCAAAGACCUCCCAUUACUGCAAGUUUCAUGUGGCAUCCCUGCUCGUACCACUUAUUUGUUCUUGUUACGACCUGGACUUGUACUUUACGCGGGAUAGGAACGAAGUACAGACCUAGUGUAAGAAGGCGGUACUUUUUACCCUCGUACUGCUUGUAAAUUGUAAUGUGUAGCAUAUAUUAGAGCAUGAUAACUUCUGCUGCAUAUAUUCGUCAGUGUGAUCACUCAAGGAAUUUGUGCAGCAGAAUUUUGUCAUGUCGAUGUUGUAAGUUGAAGGAUCACAUUGCUUGUAAAAUUUGGCAGCAUGUUGUCUUAUCCUCGGAUGAGUAUGUUGUUGUAGAAACUUGCAUUUGGCCUUUGCUCUGCACACUCUUGUAUGUUGUGACGUAUUCAAUCCGUUCUGAUUUAUUGAUC
This is an RNA transcript of Zea mays, 3585 nucleotides long. It is a transcript of the gene named chloride channel protein CLC-f, with no coding region annotated. The transcript is spliced from 9 exons. The record is from RefSeq and is a predicted model, not a curated record. NCBI's taxonomy places the organism in Eukaryota, Viridiplantae, Streptophyta, Magnoliopsida, Poales, Poaceae.